This 686-nucleotide long non-coding RNA is filed under the name Cyanistes caeruleus (blue tit). RNAcentral describes it as "lncRNA (ENSCCEG00000004707.1)". Lineage: Eukaryota; Metazoa; Chordata; Aves; Passeriformes; Paridae. The record is from RNAcentral.
AAAUGGGGAUAAAUUGGUUAAAAAGGGGGGGAAAUGGGUGAAACUUUUUGGCUGCUGACACUGAUCCAGGGCUGGGGAAACAUCACCCCACACCCAGGGGCUGAACUGGGAUGGACUGGGAUGGACUGGGAGGGACUGGGAGGGACUGGGAUGAACUGGGAGGGACUGGGAUGAACUGGGAGGGACUGGAAUGGACUGGGAACACUGGGAUGGAACUGGGAGCAGAGCCUGAGCUGGGCUAGGCUGUGCAGUGGUCACUCACAGGCCCAGCAGUGGUCCAUACCGGUCCAUACUGGUUUAUACUGGUCCAUACUGGUCCAUACUGGUCCAUACUGGUCCAUACUGGUCUAUACUGGUCCAUACUGGUUUAUACCGGUCCAUACCGGUUUAUACUGGUCCAUACUGGUUUAUACUGGUCCAUACCGGUCCAUACUGGUUUAUACUGGUCCAUACUGGUCUACACCGUCCCGCCCCAGCCGGCGCCGUCCCCCUGGCGCUGUCCCCGGUGAGUUUUCAGGUGCUCCCGGAGGUGGUGUUUGAGCUUGAAGCGUUUGUGGCAGCGGCCGCAGGGGAAGGGCCGCAGGCUCAGGGUCAGCAGGACGUGGCGGUCGCGCUUGGGCCGCGCCGCGAAGCGUUUCCCGCACGCGCAGCCGAAGCGCUUCCCGUCCGCCGGCGCCGCCGCCAGC